CGAAUGUUUAGCUCGUUCGUUUCAACUACAAGUAUGCUGUACACUGUUUAGCCAGACAGGAGAUAUAAAUUAUACUUUCGUAGUGCAAGAUGAGAUGAGGCUGAAACAAGAAUUGUUAUGUUUGUCGAGAGGAUCACAUUGAUACGAGUUCUGUACCUACAUUUAUGAGCUAUGGUGAUAUGAAAAUUAAACUGAAGAAAUGGAGAAUAAUGAUAGAACCGUACAGAAUAUGAGCAAUGAUGUAUUGUUAAAUGGUGAGCUGCAGUUGGAAAAGGCAAACGGAAAAAUUCUAGGCCAUCAAAACUUUUCUAACCAACUUAUAAACGGCCAGGGAAGUAGUCAAUGUACUACCAUACUUAAACACUGUAAAAAAGUGCAUAUUGGUCCAAAAAUCGAAUAUCAUAAUCAUCUGCCGACCACAUCUGAUCCAAUUA
RNAcentral lists this long non-coding RNA (434 nucleotides) under Androctonus crassicauda. The record is from RNAcentral. Lineage: Eukaryota; Metazoa; Arthropoda; Arachnida; Scorpiones; Buthidae.